Molecule: long non-coding RNA, 1154 nt
Filed under: Pongo abelii (Sumatran orangutan)
Lineage: Eukaryota; Metazoa; Chordata; Mammalia; Primates; Hominidae
Description: lincRNA
Source: RNAcentral
CUCUUACCCCAGCCAUGUAAUUUGCACAUUGUUUUCUAUUUUCUGUUGGGAAAUCACAAAGCAUCUAAAAGACAGGCAGUGGUUCUCAAGCUGCAGCCAAAGAAACACCAGAGGCUUUUGCACAAUCCCUUUUUCCUGAAGCCAACUCUACUGAGGAUGCGAUGUGGAUACGGAUGUCCGGGAAGCUGGUGUCGGUGGUGGGCCGUGUUCUCAGGCCCAGGGAUGCUGUGGCAGGGGCUGGAUGGGAAUGCAGUGGGGCCGUGUAUUAGCUGUGCAGUCUUUGGAAAAGUACUUCAUUGUUCUGAGCCUCAUUUUCUUAUUUGUCUGUUCUGGUUGCCUUUCAGCGACACCAUAGAGAUUAUUUUUCAGCUUGCUUCUCUGUGAGGAUCAACUCUAUUGAAGUAUCUAAAGUACCUGGCACAGGGUCCUGCACAUACACCUCAUUUAAAUGAUCAAGUACAUACUAAGCAGCUCAUGUUCAAUUCUGAAAACUGUCCUGGGCCUGGGCCAUGUGUUCGGAGUGUGGAGAAGAAGGAGCCAGUAGUCCCCUCCCCUGGUCAGGGGGCCUGGGUCUGCGCCAGAGAACAGAAGGGCCGGCAGCCAGGCCUCUGUCCCCAAGAGCUGGGGCGCACAUUAAAGCCUGUCAUGGCUCAGGAACUGGGCCCGCUGCGCCGGGCAUCUGGAUGUUCUUAGAUCUCUGUCUGGAUUCCUUCUGCUUGUCUUGUGGAAUUACUUAUCAGCAGCAGGCAGACCAGACCCUGGGCUUUCCUCUCCAUGGCCCAGCCCCAGGCCUUCCUAUCCGUAAACACUAGUGCAGGGGAUGGGGAAGUUGCUUCAGGACCUGUGGAUGAGGCUUCCCUGUGUGCUCCUCGGCCCCCUACGGCAGCCUGCUGCUGUCUCUGUACAAAAGCAGGACCUCCAGCCUGUGCCCACUGCCCUCAGCAACCUGCAUCUUCAGAUGAGAGAUGUGUAGGAAUCAGAAGGGAAUUUCAAAAUUAUUUGAAAAGUGUGACUGUUGAGGGCUGUCACUUGUGUCUACUCCCUGGACCAUUUUUUCCCCACAAUACUCCUGUUAUCACCCCCUUCCCUCCAGGGUUGAUUCCACUUUCUUUGGUUAGACCCAUGGUGACAUCCCUUUGUGCUUGUGAACCCGA